RNAcentral lists this small RNA (549 nucleotides) under Lodderomyces parapsilosis. RNAcentral's name for it is "eukaryotic LSU rRNA". The stretch from base 208 to 361 matches the Rfam family "5.8S ribosomal RNA". The record is from RNAcentral. Lineage: Eukaryota; Fungi; Ascomycota; Pichiomycetes; Serinales; Debaryomycetaceae.
UUGGAAAGUNAAAGUCGUAACAAGGUUUCCGUAGGUGAACCUGCGGAAGGAUCAUUACAGAAUGAAAAGUGCUUAACUGCAUUUUUUCUUACACAUGUGUUUUUCUUUUUUUGAAAACUUUGCUUUGGUAGGCCUUCUAUAUGGGGCCUGCCAGAGAUUAAACUCAACCAAAUUUUAUUUAAUGUCAACCGAUUAUUUAAUAGUCAAAACUUUCAACAACGGAUCUCUUGGUUCUCGCAUCGAUGAAGAACGCAGCGAAAUGCGAUAAGUAAUAUGAAUUGCAGAUAUUCGUGAAUCAUCGAAUCUUUGAACGCACAUUGCGCCCUUUGGUAUUCCAAAGGGCAUGCCUGUUUGAGCGUCAUUUCUCCCUCAAACCCUCGGGUUUGGUGUUGAGCGAUACGCUGGGUUUGCUUGAAAGAAAGGCGGAGUAUAAACUAAUGGAUAGGUUUUUUCCACUCAUUGGUACAAACUCCAAAACUUCUUCCAAAUUCGACCUCAAAUCAGGUAGGACUACCCGCUGAACUUAAGCAUAUCAAUAGCGGGGGGGNA